UACGAAGGGGGCUAGCGUUGCUCGGAAUCACUGGGCGUAAAGCGCACGUAGGCGGCUUACUAAGUCAGGGGUGAAAUCCUGGAGCUCAACUCCAGAACUGCCUUUGAUACUGGAGAUCUCGAGUCCGGGAGAGGUGAGUGGAACUGCGAGUGUAGAGGUGAAAUUCGUAGAUAUUCGCAAGAACACCAGUGGCGAAGGCAGCUCACUGGCCCGGUACUGACGCUGAGGUACGAAAGCGUGGGGAGCAAACAGG
This 253-nucleotide ribosomal RNA is filed under the name uncultured bacterium. RNAcentral describes it as "partial 16S ribosomal RNA". It matches the Rfam family "Bacterial small subunit ribosomal RNA", at positions 524 to 776 of the family's 1533-position model. The record is from RNAcentral.